CACGUAGUUAGCCGGUGCUUAUUCUUACGGUACCGUCAUGACCCCCCUGUAUUAGAAGAAGGCUUUUCGUUCCGUACAAAAGCAGUUUACAACCCGAAGGCCUUCAUCCUGCACGCGGCAUGGCUGGAUCAGGCUUGCGCCCAUUGUCCAAAAUUCCCCACUGCUGCCUCCCGUAGGAGUCUGGGCCGUGUCUCAGUCCCAGUGUGGCUGGUCGUCCUCUCAGACCAGCUACAGAUCGUAGGCUUGGUAAGCCUUUACCCCACCAACUACCUAAUCUGCCAUCGGCCGCUCCGUUCGCGCAAGGCCUUGCGGUCCCCUGCUUUCAUCCAUAGAUCUUAUGCGGUAUUAGCAAGCUUUCGCCUCGUUAUCCCCCACGACUCGGGCACGUUCCGAUGUAUUACUCACCCGUUCGCCACUCGUCAGCAUCCGAAGACCUGUUACCGUCGACUUGCAUGUGUAAGCAUGCCGCAGCGUUCAAUCUGAGCCAGGAUCAAACUCUCG
This 501-nucleotide ribosomal RNA is filed under the name uncultured Acidovorax sp. RNAcentral describes it as "partial 16S ribosomal RNA". Lineage: Bacteria; Pseudomonadati; Pseudomonadota; Betaproteobacteria; Burkholderiales; Comamonadaceae. The record is from RNAcentral.